GACUUUUUGCCCCUGAUUACUAAGACUACUCAUUAAAAAUGAACAAAUUGGGGGGCAGCUGGGUAGCUCAGUGGAUUAAGAGCCAGGCCUAGAGAUGGGAGGUCCUAGGUUCAAAUCUGGCCUCAGCCACUUCCUAGCUGUGUGACCCUGGGCAAGUCACUUGACCCCCAUUGCCUAGCCCUUACCACUCUUCUGCCUUGGAGCCAAUACACAGUAUUGACUCCAAGACAGAAGGUAAGGGUUUAAAAAAAAAAAGAACAAAUUAAUCAGAAGGGCUAUAAAUAUAUGAGUCCUUAGGAGAUCCAGAAAGGGCAAUAAAUUAAAGUACUGAUUGCUUUCCCCUCCUAUAUUAGGAGGAGAGGCAGGAUAGCAGUCUAUCAUUACCUUUCCUGAAGAUGCCAAGCUUCCAGCUUCUCAAGAAUGUCAGAACUUUGCCAACCUAGUAUGUACCUCUCAUCUUACUACUUUAAAAGUAAUCUGAAUCUGUUGUUUUCUUGAAGGUAUGGAGCUUCCCCUGAAGAACAAAUCAGAGCUUGCUCUGUACAUUACGGUCUUCAGGAGUUUUCUGGAAUAUUGAGAGGUCAAGUGACUUGUCAAGGAUCACACAGAUAGUAUGUAUAUCAAAUGUGCUUGACCAAACAAGUCUUCCUGAUUCCAAAACCAGUUCUCUACCCACUAUUCCAACAAGAACCUUUUGAGGUUAGUAGGGUCACAAAAUAUGACAGGAAUAUUCAAAGGAAUGCAAGAGGAAGAAAGUGCUCAUAAAUGGGGAGAUCUGGAAGGCUUCAUGGAGGGGUUGGCAUCUGAGUAGUGGUGAGAAGAGAAUGCAAUCUUGACAUAGGAGGCCAAAAAAGAAAGUUUUCCCUCUGAAUGUGGAUACUGUUCUUUCUUGAAGAUCCCUCUGGGUUGUUCAGGAUCACUUCAUUGCCACUAAUGGAGAAAUCCAUUACAUCAAUUGUACCACAGUGUGUCAGUCUCUGUGUACAGUGUUCUCCUGGUUCUGCUCCUUUCACUUGGCAUCAAUUCCUGGAGAGCUAUGGACUCUGAGUUGAGAAGACCUGUCUACAUUCAAACCCUGUGUGACUCUGGGUAAGUCUCUUAACUGUGAUCAGCCUCAGUGUCCUAAUCGAUAAAAUGAGAUAAUAAUUGCACUAACCUCUUAGGGAUCUUGUGAGUAUCAAAUGAGGUAAUAUAUGCAAAGCAAUUUGAAAAUCUUAAAAUGUAUAUAUUAUUGUGAUUAUUAUUCCUAUCAGUUGAAUUAAUAAUUAAUAAUAAUUCAUAUUGUUUUUAUUAUUACUUUAUUAGUGGGAAACAUCAUAUCAUA
Molecule: long non-coding RNA, 1324 nt
Filed under: Monodelphis domestica (gray short-tailed opossum)
Lineage: Eukaryota; Metazoa; Chordata; Mammalia; Didelphimorphia; Didelphidae
Description: lncRNA (ENSMODG00000040448.1)
Source: RNAcentral